GCAUAAACAAGGUCCUGUGAUUGCUGCACU
RNAcentral lists this non-coding RNA (30 nucleotides) under Rattus norvegicus (Norway rat). Lineage: Eukaryota; Metazoa; Chordata; Mammalia; Rodentia; Muridae. The record is from RNAcentral.